AUAUCAGUCCUGUUUAUUCGCAAAUUACUACAAAUACUCCCAGGAAAAUAGAUACCUACUACACUCACCAAGAUCAAGGAGGUGAAUCCUGACAUUCGGAAGAAGAAAUCAUUAGGAGAAAAUACGGGUCUUUGUACUUGAAAGUCUUAUACUUUGAGAUUUUAUAAACAAGUCCUGAAAUAGAAGCAAGUUAUGUUAGAGAUUGAAGUGAGGAGUGACCUCCUUCUUGACAUCACCCAUUGAAGACAAGUGCUCUUCACCAUUUUCCAGGAACUUGUUCAACCCAAAUCAAAAGAGUAGAAACAGCCCAGAAAUAUUACUGAUAUGGAAUUAUUUACAGUAAUCUUGAGGAUGGCUAGAGAAUUCUCCAGUGGUUGAAAAUAGGAGGUCUAUUACAGAGCUUAAAACUGGUGUUACUACACUCUUCACUGAUAAAAGCACAGGUAUGAGGUCCUUGAUCAUCAGAAGGGUUUGAGCUUUAUGUCAUCCUCUGCGCAAUAGAAGUGUUAACACUAGAGGUCUGGUUGUUCAGCGGGUGUUAGAAAAUGGGGUUGAAGAUGUAGACUAAGGGCUAAAAUGUGAAGGGCCUUAUAGGUCACGAUAAAGAAUUUGAGUUUUAUCUUGUUAUGGAGCUAUCAGAGUAGAAUUUCAGUAGGAUGCCCAUGUUAUCUGAUUCAUAAUCAUUUAGGAUACUGUGUGGAAAUUCCUCUCAGAGAAAGAUGGAAGUAGGGUGACAAGUUAUAGCAGCUCUGGUGAUUGACAACCAUAGAUCUAUAUAGGACUAUAGCAGUGGAAAGUAAGAAGAGUUGGGAUUCAAAAGAAAAAUAAAAA
This 831-nucleotide long non-coding RNA is filed under the name Sus scrofa (pig). Its description in RNAcentral is "lncRNA (ENSSSCG00035029803.1)". The record is from RNAcentral. Lineage: Eukaryota; Metazoa; Chordata; Mammalia; Artiodactyla; Suidae.